Molecule: unclassified non-coding RNA, 311 nt
Filed under: Hevea brasiliensis (rubber tree)
Lineage: Eukaryota; Viridiplantae; Streptophyta; Magnoliopsida; Malpighiales; Euphorbiaceae
Source: RNAcentral
GGGUCCACACGGCUCCUCUCUACCUGUUUUCUGGCAGGGCAGCCCUUUGAACUGCUACACCUGUAGUAUCCUCUGGGGUAAGGGGAGCCCUUGAUGGGUUUCUGGCCAUACUUUCUCCAAGCCCAAGAAUCAGAUGGUGGCGGGGCAGUCUCACCUUUGAGCCGUGACCCUUCUACGUCCUUGAUUGGCACCGAGAUUACUCUCUUUUGAAUCGCCCGUUUGCAUCUUUUCAGGGAGGAAGUAGAAGUCUUCAUGUCGUUGAGCAAGUUAAAAGGAGGUGAGUCAGGACCACUUUCUGUAUUGUCGUUCUC